GCCCGCCUAGCUCAAUCGGAUAGAGCGUCAGACUCUUACUCAGGCAGGGUGUAUCUGAAGGCUGCGAGUUCGACCCUCGCGGUGGGCU
RNAcentral lists this transfer RNA (88 nucleotides) under Termitomyces sp. T159_Od127. Its description in RNAcentral is "tRNA-Lys". It matches the Rfam family "tRNA". Rfam says of the family: Transfer RNA (tRNA) molecules are approximately 80 nucleotides in length. Their secondary structure includes four short double-helical elements and three loops (D, anti-codon, and T loops). Lineage: Eukaryota; Fungi; Basidiomycota; Agaricomycetes; Agaricales; Lyophyllaceae. The record is from RNAcentral.